RNAcentral lists this unclassified non-coding RNA (378 nucleotides) under uncultured Amanita. Its description in RNAcentral is "sequence contains ITS2". The stretch from base 1 to 154 matches the Rfam family "5.8S ribosomal RNA". The record is from RNAcentral. Lineage: Eukaryota; Fungi; Basidiomycota; Agaricomycetes; Agaricales; Amanitaceae.
AACUUUCAGCAAUGGAUCUCUUGGCUCUCGCAUCGAUGAAGAACACAGCGAAAUGUGAUAAGUAAUGUGAAUUGCAGAAUCAAGUGAAUCAUCGAAUCUUUGAACGCAUCUUGCGCUCCUUGGCAUUCCAAGGAGCAUGCCUGUUUGAGUGUCGUUAAACUAUCAAAACACUUUUCUUGGGUGUUUUGGACUUUGGGAGCAACUUGAUGGUCCGUUUGAGCCAGCUCUCCUCAAAACCGUUAACUUUGUAGUCCAUCUGUCUGAUAAUGUGUUUACGCUGAUUUGAGUUUCGCAGCUUCUCCUUUUCAUUUACACCCCUUUGGCCUCAAAUCAAGUAAGACUACCCGUUAAACUUAGCCAUAUCAAUAAACGCAGGCU